CAGAUGCUGCGGGGCUCGUCAGGGACAAUAUGACCCGGGGGCCUAUAAGAUCCGCACGGGCGCUGUCCCUGACCGGAGCCGUGGCUCCGGAUACAUGGUGCCCACCUACGCUCGUAGGGACCACGCGGGAUCAUCGUCUCAACGGCCUUCGCGGCAUUAUU
This is a non-coding RNA of Hyphomicrobium sp. MC1, 161 nucleotides long. It matches the Rfam family "6S / SsrS RNA". From Rfam's summary of the family: E. coli 6S RNA was the first non coding RNA to be sequenced, but its function was unknown until recently. Lineage: Bacteria; Pseudomonadati; Pseudomonadota; Alphaproteobacteria; Hyphomicrobiales; Hyphomicrobiaceae. The record is from Rfam.